GAUGAAGAACGCAGCGAAAUGCGAUAAGUAAUGUGAAUUGCAGAAUUCAGUGAAUCAUCGAAUCUUUGAACGCACAUUGCGCCCCCUGGUAUUCCGGGGGGCAUGCCUGUUCGAGCGUCAUUUCACCACUCAAGCCUCGCUUGGUAUUGGGCAACGCGGUCCGCCGCGUGCCUCAAAUCGACCGGCUGGGUCUUCUGUCCCCUAAGCGUUGUGGAAACUAUUCGCUAAAGGGUGCUCGGGAGGCUACGCCGUAAAACAAACCCAUUUCUACGGUUGACCUCGGAUCAGGUAGGGAUACCCGCUGAACUUAAGCAUAUCAAUAAGCGGAGGA
RNAcentral lists this unclassified non-coding RNA (331 nucleotides) under soil metagenome. Its description in RNAcentral is "partial contains 5.8S ribosomal RNA, internal transcribed spacer 2, and large subunit ribosomal RNA". The stretch from base 1 to 120 matches the Rfam family "5.8S ribosomal RNA", at positions 35 to 154 of the family's 154-position model. The record is from RNAcentral.